Molecule: long non-coding RNA, 1787 nt
Organism: Oncorhynchus tshawytscha (Chinook salmon)
Lineage: Eukaryota; Metazoa; Chordata; Actinopteri; Salmoniformes; Salmonidae
Source: Ensembl
GUUGUAGUAUCAGGAUACCAGCCAGGUUGUAGUAUCAGGAUACCAGCCAGGUUGUAGUAUCAGGAUACCAGCCAGGUUGUAGUAUCAGGGUACCAGCCAGGUUGUAGUAUAGGGGUACCAGCCAGGUUGUAGUAUCAGGGUACCAGCCAGGUUGUAGUAUCGGGAUACCAGCCAGGUACCUUCCUCUACCCACCCUCCUCCAGGUCCGCGUGACCCCGAGCCACAUUCUCAGCCUCUGAUGACCCGGAAGUGGUCCGUUUCAGUUCCUGUAAAACCAUGAAGUGAUUUUCAUCCCAGUUGCCCAGCAGCUUGUGUGAGUCUUUCCCAAGGCUGAGAGUCUUUCCCAAGGCUGAGAGUCUUUCCCAAGGCUGAGAGUCUUUCCCAAGGCUGUGAGUCUUUCCCAAGGCUGAGAGUCUUUCCCAAGGCUGAGAGUCUUUCCCAAGGCUGAGAGUCUUUCCCAAGGCUGAGAGUCUUUCCCAAGGCUGAGAGUCUUUCCCAAGGCUGUGAGUCUUUUCCCAAGGCUUCUGUAAAAGGAACAGCUUUAAAGACAAAAAGACAAAGAAAAAAUACUUGGGUCUUUUUUAGCAUUGUGUGGGAGUGUGUUGUUUCUGAGUUGGUUGGUGUAUCCAUUGGGAGUGUGUGAUGUUUAUGCUCUACAGAAGAGCUUUUCUGUCAGCAGACGUUCUCACUCACCUAACCUUUUAGUUUGUUGUUUUUAAUCCUUUCAAAAUAUUAUCAUAAGAUUCAACUUUAGUUUUAGGUCAUUGUAUAUUUUGUGUGUGUUGUUUUCCUUUGUUUUUAUCACCACCUCUGGGUAACUCGUUCAGCUUCUAUAAAUUAUAUAUCUAUGUUCGUUCUAAGUUCAGAACUUUGUGCUGAUCUGUUUCUUUAUGAGUGGCUAAGACCCGGGCUGCGUCCCAAAAUGGUCAAAAGUUGUGUACUAAGCCUAUAAGGAACAGGGUGCUAAUAGGGUGCCAAUAGGCUGCCAAUAGGGUGCCAACAGGGUGCCCUAUACUGAUCAGACAAUUAACAAUGGAAUUAGCUUUUGUAGCACCACAGUGUGCACACGUUAACAAGCGGGUAUGACACGUGUGUGUUUACCACAAACGUGCGUGUCAGAGUACACACUAUUCUGCGUCAGACAGACGGGGGAGUCUUUUCACAACCGUAAAAUGUCCCACACAAUAUAAACAAAGAUGACAUCAGUGAACGACGUACCAGACGUAGUAAUAUGUUUGAUCAGCAUGCUAUAAUGAUUUACUAUUCAUGCUGACGUUAAACGUGUUACCAGUUCUAAUCUGUCCUCCAGACGGCACAAGGUAGUUGGUUUAUUAUCCGUCUAUGACAGUAACACACACAGUUGAGUAAUUUCACAAAGCAUUAAACAUCAGUCUUGUAAGCUCAGGUCUAUGAACAACUAUAGAUAGAUUUGGUAUAAAUGAGUUGAUACUCUCAAUCAUUUUGAUCUUUAUCUUUGUGUGUUGUGUAUUUGCCAAAACCAUAGCUAGUUAACUUGUUGAUCCCACUUGUUUAGGAAUCUUUGAGUGGGUCCCAAUGAUCUCUCCUUUCUCCCAAAGUGUGCACUUGUUCACUUUUUGUGGGAGGGAUUGGUGAUCGAGUGCGCACUUCAGGAGGAAGGAGAGAUUCCCGGGACGCUCCCUCCGCCUACUCUCACUGUUCUGUCUAUAUGCUGGAGCCGACCCCAGGCCUGCAUGUACUAUCCCAUCACAAGGCUUUUUCAUUAUUUUCCAUGAGUUGUUUGAUUAAAUGAUUUGUUUUGAUUCAAA